RNAcentral lists this ribosomal RNA (445 nucleotides) under uncultured bacterium. Its description in RNAcentral is "partial 16S ribosomal RNA". It matches the Rfam family "Bacterial small subunit ribosomal RNA", at positions 354 to 796 of the family's 1533-position model. The record is from RNAcentral.
GUGAGGAAUAUUGGUCAAUGGGCGGGAGCCUGAACCAGCCAAGUCGCGUGAAGGAAGAAGGAUCUAUGGUUCGUAAACUUCUUUUGCAGGGGAAUAAAGUGCAGGACGUGUCCUGUUUUGUAUGUACCCUGAGAAUAAGCAUCGGCUAACUCCGUGCCAGCAGCCGCGGUAAUACGGAGGAUCCGAGCGUUAUCCGGAUUUAUUGGGUUUAAAGGGUGCGUAGGUGGUUUGAUAAGUCAGCGGUGAAAGUUUGCAGCUUAACUGUAAAAAUGCCGUUGAAACUGGCGGACGUGAGUGUAAAUGAGGUAGGCGGAAUGCGUGGUGUAGCGGUGAAAUGCAUAGAUAUCACGCAGAACUCCGAUUGCGAAGGCAGCUUACUAAGCUACAACUGACACUGAAGCACGAAAGCGUGGGGAUCAAACAGGAUUAGAAACCCCUGUAGUCC